GGACCCGCACAAGUAGUGGAGCAUGUGGUUUAAUUCGAAGAUACGCGCAGAACCUUACCAACACUUGACAUGUUCGUCGCGACUUUAAGAGAUUAAAGUUUUCGGUUCGGCCGGACGAAACACAGGUGCUGCAUGGCUGUCGUCAGCUCGUGUCGUGAGAUGUUGGGUUAAGUCCCGCAACGAGCGCAACCCUCACUUUUAGUUGCCACCAUUUAGUUGGGCACUUUAAAAGAACUGCCAGUGAUAAGCUGGAGGAAGGUGGGGAUGACGUCAAGUCCUCAUGGCCCUUAUGUGUUGGGCUACACACGUGCUACAAUGGUAUCUACAACAGGAAGCAAGACUGCGAAGUUAAGCAAAUCCUUAAAAGAUACCUCAGUUCGGAUUGCACUCUGCAACUCGAGUGCAUGAAGCUGGAAUUACUAGUAAUCG
Molecule: ribosomal RNA, 429 nt
Filed under: uncultured bacterium
Lineage: Bacteria
Description: bacterial SSU rRNA
Rfam family: Bacterial small subunit ribosomal RNA
Source: RNAcentral